UGGGGAAUUUUGGACAAUGGGGGCAACCCUGAUCCAGCAAUGCCGCGUGAGUGAAGAAGGCCUUCGGGUUGUAAAGCUCUUUUGUCAGGGGAAGAAACGGUAGUAGCGAAUAACUAUUACUAAUGACGGUACCUGAAGAAUAAGCACCGGCUAACUACGUGCCAGCAGCCGCGGUAAUACGUAGGGUGCAAGCGUUAAUCGGAAUUACUGGGCGUAAAGCGUGCGCAGGCGGUUGUGUAAGUCAGAUGUGAAAUCCCCGGGCUCAACCUGGGAAUUGCAUUUGAGACUGCACGGCUAGAGUGUGUCAGAGGGGGGUAGAAUUCCACGUGUAGCAGUGAAAUGCGUAGAUAUGUGGAGGAAUACCGAUGGCGAAGGCAGCCCCCUGGGAUAACACUGACGCUCAUGCACGAAAGCGUGGGGAGCAAACAGGAUUAGAUACCCCCGUAGUCCCUGAGCGGGCUGGCAAGGCGCAU
This 473-nucleotide ribosomal RNA is filed under the name uncultured bacterium. RNAcentral describes it as "bacterial SSU rRNA". It matches the Rfam family "Bacterial small subunit ribosomal RNA", at positions 355 to 825 of the family's 1533-position model. The record is from RNAcentral.